Molecule: long non-coding RNA, 111 nt
Organism: Cucurbita moschata (crookneck pumpkin)
Lineage: Eukaryota; Viridiplantae; Streptophyta; Magnoliopsida; Cucurbitales; Cucurbitaceae
Exons: 3
Source: RefSeq, a predicted model, not a curated record
AUUCACAGAAGUCAUCCAUAUAAACUUUUGGCCAAUAUUCCUCAUUGCAUUUUCUCUCUCCUAUUAUUUGUGUUCAUCUGGAUCGAAUGUGUGCAUUGUUUCUCUCUUCUU